AUUGAACGCUGGCGGCAGGCCUAACGCAUGCGAGUCGAACGGUAACAGGAAACAGCUUGCUGUUUCGCUGACGAGUGGCGGACGGGUGAGUAAUGUCUGGGAAACUGCCUGAUGGAGGGGGAUAACUACUGGAAACGGUAGCUAAUACCGCAUAACGUCGCAAGACCAAAGAGGGGGACCUUCGGGCCUCUUGCCAUCGGAUGUGCCCAGAUGGGAUUAGCUAGUAGGUGGGGUAACGGCUCACCUAGGCGACGAUCCCUAGCUGGUCUGAGAGGAUGACCAGCCACACUGGAACUGAGACACGGUCCAGACUCCUACGGGAGGCAGCAGUGGGGAAUAUUGCACAAUGGGCGCAAGCCUGAUGCAGCCAUGCCGCGUGUAUGAAGAAGGCCUUCGGGUUGUAAAGUACUUUCAGCGGGGAGGAAGGGAGUAAAGUUAAUACCUUUACUCAUUGACGUUACCCGCAGAAGAAGCACCGGCUAACUCCGUG
RNAcentral lists this ribosomal RNA (490 nucleotides) under uncultured bacterium. RNAcentral describes it as "partial 16S ribosomal RNA". It matches the Rfam family "Bacterial small subunit ribosomal RNA", at positions 30 to 507 of the family's 1533-position model. The record is from RNAcentral.